This is a non-coding RNA of Phrynosoma platyrhinos (Desert horned lizard), 71 nucleotides long. The record is from the annotation of a GenBank genome assembly. Lineage: Eukaryota; Metazoa; Chordata; Lepidosauria; Squamata; Phrynosomatidae.
GCCAACAUGGCGUAGUGGUUUGAGUGUUGGACUAUGACUCCGAAGACCAGGAUUCAAAUCCUGUUCAGCCA